UUAUACCCUGACUAGAGAUAGUUUACACCU
Molecule: non-coding RNA, 30 nt
Filed under: Mus musculus (house mouse)
Lineage: Eukaryota; Metazoa; Chordata; Mammalia; Rodentia; Muridae
Source: RNAcentral